GCGGGAGUAGCUCAGGUGUAGAGCAUCAGCUUCCCAAGCUGAGGGUCGCGGGUUCGACCCCCGUUUCCCGCU
RNAcentral lists this transfer RNA (72 nucleotides) under Prolixibacteraceae bacterium. RNAcentral's name for it is "tRNA-Gly". It matches the Rfam family "tRNA". Rfam says of the family: Transfer RNA (tRNA) molecules are approximately 80 nucleotides in length. The record is from RNAcentral. Lineage: Bacteria; Pseudomonadati; Bacteroidota; Bacteroidia; Marinilabiliales; Prolixibacteraceae.